This is a long non-coding RNA of Culex quinquefasciatus (southern house mosquito), 470 nucleotides long. RefSeq lists it as uncharacterized. Lineage: Eukaryota; Metazoa; Arthropoda; Insecta; Diptera; Culicidae. The record is from RefSeq and is a predicted model, not a curated record. The transcript is spliced from 2 exons.
AUUAAAAACUGUUGCGUUGCGUAACAAUUAAAGUCGCGAUUUUGUCGUUGUGCAGAAAAAUUCCAUAAAUGAUCAAAAGUAUAUUAUACAGAACUGGUACAGCAACGAGCCGCAGCAGCAGGUGCUGCAGAUCCCGAAAGAUGUUCCUCCAGCUUGUCAGCCUCUUCAUCGUCAAACUUUAAAUCGAUACCGCCCGAUAAGCAAAACUCAGCAGCAAUGAGAUCAUGCGGCACUCUAUCGAAGAAUCCGCGGGUUCGGAAGGAGCAGAAAGCGGCCCCUGAGUGGCGCCAGCUUCGACAAAUCCGAUCAACAUCUUCUAAUGGCAGCAGAUCUACGUCAAGAAAGCAGAAAUAACGAAAGUGGUCAUUGAGAUGCAAGAGACAAGUGCUGCUAAUCAAGCGCAUACAGCUACCAAGAUCCAGUUUCUGCAGAUGGUGCGCAAACACAUAAUCGUGAACUAAAGAAGAAAA